GCUCGACAUCCUCGAGGACGACGGUUCGUUCCGGUCGAUCCGCGACUGGCCCCGGGCCUGGCGCCAGUUCCUGUCCGGCAUCGAGAUC
RNAcentral lists this transfer RNA (88 nucleotides) under Pseudomonas aeruginosa. RNAcentral describes it as "tRNA-Arg(ccg)". Lineage: Bacteria; Pseudomonadati; Pseudomonadota; Gammaproteobacteria; Pseudomonadales; Pseudomonadaceae. The record is from RNAcentral.